RNAcentral lists this ribosomal RNA (702 nucleotides) under uncultured bacterium. RNAcentral describes it as "bacterial SSU rRNA". It matches the Rfam family "Bacterial small subunit ribosomal RNA", at positions 8 to 723 of the family's 1533-position model. The record is from RNAcentral.
AGAGUUUGAUCAUGGCUCAGGAUGAACGCUGGCGGCGUGCUUAACACAUGCAAGUCGAACGAUGAUCCCAGCUUGCUGGGGGAUUAGUGGCGAACGGGUGAGUAACACGUGAGUAACCUGCCCUUAACUCUGGGAUAAGCCUGGGAAACUGGGUCUAAUACCGGAUAUGACUCCUCAUCGCAUGGUGGGGGGUGGAAAGCUUUAUUGUGGUUUUGGAUGGACUCGCGGCCUAUCAGCUUGUUGGUGAGGUAAUGGCUCACCAAGGCGACGACGGGUAGCCGGCCUGAGAGGGUGACCGGCCACACUGGGACUGAGACACGGCCCAGACUCCUACGGGAGGCAGCAGUGGGGAAUAUUGCACAAUGGGCGAAAGCCUGAUGCAGCGACGCCGCGUGAGGGAUGACGGCCUUCGGGUUGUAAACCUCUUUCAGUAGGGAAGAAGCGAAAGUGACGGUACCUGCAGAAGAAGCGCCGGCUAACUACGUGCCAGCAGCCGCGGUAAUACGUAGGGCGCAAGCGUUAUCCGGAAUUAUUGGGCGUAAAGAGCUCGUAGGCGGUUUGUCGCGUCUGCCGUGAAAGUCCGGGGCUCAACUCCGGAUCUGCGGUGGGUACGGGCAGACUAGAGUGAUGUAGGGGAGACUGGAAUUCCUGGUGUAGCGGUGAAAUGCGCAGAUAUCAGGAGGAACACCGAUGGCGAAGGCA